This is a non-coding RNA of Vibrio caribbeanicus ATCC BAA-2122, 136 nucleotides long. The record is from Rfam. Lineage: Bacteria; Pseudomonadati; Pseudomonadota; Gammaproteobacteria; Vibrionales; Vibrionaceae.
UAAUCGCCAUAACUCCGAAUUCUAUCGACUAAGUUCAUGAGAAUAUGUGUCUAGAAUCAGUGACAAACUGUCACGAAGGCAUGGUUGGAAAUGACCAUGCCUCCUGUGUUUGGAAAGGUGUUGAAUGGCACAACAA